Molecule: ribosomal RNA, 756 nt
Filed under: Escherichia coli
Lineage: Bacteria; Pseudomonadati; Pseudomonadota; Gammaproteobacteria; Enterobacterales; Enterobacteriaceae
Description: partial 23S ribosomal RNA
Rfam family: Bacterial large subunit ribosomal RNA
Source: RNAcentral
GUGUACCCGCGGCAAGACGGAAAGACCCCGUGAACCUUUACUAUAGCUUGACACUGAACAUUGAGCCUUGAUGUGUAGGAUAGGUGGGAGGCUUUGAAGUGUGGACGCCAGUCUGCAUGGAGCCGACCUUGAAAUACCACCCUUUAAUGUUUGAUGUUCUAACGUUGACCCGUAAUCCGGGUUGCGGACAGUGUCUGGUGGGUAGUUUGACUGGGGCGGUCUCCUCCUAAAGAGUAACGGAGGAGCACGAAGGUUGGCUAAUCCUGGUCGGACAUCAGGAGGUUAGUGCAAUGGCAUAAGCCAGCUUGACUGCGAGCGUGACGGCGCGAGCAGGUGCGAAAGCAGGUCAUAGUGAUCCGGUGGUUCUGAAUGGAAGGGCCAUCGCUCAACGGAUAAAAGGUACUCCGGGGAUAACAGGCUGAUACCGCCCAAGAGUUCAUAUCGACGGCGGUGUUUGGCACCUCGAUGUCGGCUCAUCACAUCCUGGGGCUGAAGUAGGUCCCAAGGGUAUGGCUGUUCGCCAUUUAAAGUGGUACGCGAGCUGGGUUUAGAACGUCGUGAGACAGUUCGGUCCCUAUCUGCCGUGGGCGCUGGAGAACUGAGGGGGGCUGCUCCUAGUACGAGAGGACCGGAGUGGACGCAUCACUGGUGUUCGGGUUGUCAUGCCAAUGGCACUGCCCGGUAGCUAAAUGCGGAAGAGAUAAGUGCUGAAAGCAUCUAAGCACGAAACUUGCCCCGAGAUGAGUUCUCCCUGAC